UGGGGAAUAUUGCACAAUGGGCGCAAGCCUGAUGCAGCCAUGCCGCGUGUGUGAAGAAGGCCUUCGGGUUGUAAAGCACUUUCAGCGAGGAGGAAGGUGGUGAACUUAAUACGUUCAUCAAUUGACGUUACUCGCAGAAGAAGCACCGGCUAACUCCGUGCCAGCAGCCGCGGUAAUACGGAGGGUGCAAGCGUUAAUCGGAAUUACUGGGCGUAAAGCGCACGCAGGCGGUUUGUUAUGUCAGAUGUGAAAUCCCCGGGCUCAACCUGGGAACUGCAUUUGAAACUGGCAAGCUAGAGUCUCGUAGAGGGGGGUAGAAUUCCAGGUGUAGCGGUGAAAUGCGUAGAGAUCUGGAGGAAUACCGGUGGCGAAGGCGGCCCCCUGGANGAAGACUGACGCUCAGGUGCGAAAAGGCGUGGGGGAGCAAAACAGGAUUAGAUACCCUGGUAGUCCACGCUGUAAAACGAUGUCGAUUUUGGAGGUUGUG
This 487-nucleotide ribosomal RNA is filed under the name uncultured bacterium. RNAcentral's name for it is "partial 16S ribosomal RNA". It matches the Rfam family "Bacterial small subunit ribosomal RNA", at positions 355 to 829 of the family's 1533-position model. The record is from RNAcentral.